This 297-nucleotide unclassified non-coding RNA is filed under the name Hevea brasiliensis (rubber tree). It matches the Rfam family "Bacterial small subunit ribosomal RNA", at positions 498 to 794 of the family's 1533-position model. The record is from RNAcentral. Lineage: Eukaryota; Viridiplantae; Streptophyta; Magnoliopsida; Malpighiales; Euphorbiaceae.
UAACUACGUGCCAGCAGCCGCGGUGAUACGUAGGGUGCGAGCGUUGUCCGGAUUUAUUGGGCGUAAAGGGCUCGUAGGUGGUUGAUCGCGUCGGAAGUGUAAUCUUGGGGCUUAACCCUGAGCGUGCUUUCGAUACGGGUUGACUUGAGGAAGGUAGGGGAGAAUGGAAUUCCUGGUGGAGCGGUGGAAUGCGCAGAUAUCAGGAGGAACACCGAUGGCGAAGGCAGGUUACUGGGCAGUUACUGACGCUGAGGAGCGAAAGCAUGGGUAGCGAACAGGAUUAGAUACCCUGGUAGU